GGUAUUGAAAUAAGAUUUUAAAUGAGUGCUAAGAGAAUGAUUAAACAAUUAAAAGCUUUCUUUAAUUAAAAAAUUAAAUUUAAUUUUUUUAGUGCAAAAGCAAAAAUAAAAUUUAGGGACAAGAAGACCCUAUGAAUUUUUAUUGUUAAUAAUUAAAAUUUAAAUUAUUAAUAAUUUAAUUGGGGCGAUAAAAAAAGAAUAAGUAUCUUUUUAGUUAUAAAAUAAGUUCCGUUUUUAGCGAUUAAAUGAAAUAAAUACUCUAGGGAUAACAGCGUAAUAAUUUUGGAUAGUUCAUAUAGAUAAAAUAGUUUGCGACCUCGAUGUUGGAUUAGGAUUCU
RNAcentral lists this ribosomal RNA (338 nucleotides) under Ixodes scapularis (black-legged tick). Its description in RNAcentral is "partial 16S ribosomal RNA". Lineage: Eukaryota; Metazoa; Arthropoda; Arachnida; Ixodida; Ixodidae. The record is from RNAcentral.